AUGAACGCUGGCGGCGUGGAUUAGGCAUGCAAGUCGAACGCGAAAGUGGGGGCAACUCCGCGAGUAGAGUGGCGAAAGGGUGAGUAAUGCUUGGAUGACCUGCCUUCGAGACGGGGACAACAGUUCGAAAGGACUGCUAAUACCCGAUGGUCCGCCCCGGAUGCGUCCGGGGUGGUAAAUGGUUGAUUCCGCUCGAUGAGGGGUCCAAGUCCUAUCAGCUAGUUGGUGAGGUCAUGGCUCACCAAGGCGAUGACGGGUAGCCGGACUGAGAGGUUGGCCGGCCACAUGGGAACUGAGACACUGUCCUGACUCCUACGGGAGGCUGCAGUCGAGAAUCUUCUGCAAUGGGCGCAAGCCUGACAGAGCGACGCCGCGUGGAGGAUGAAGGCCUUCGGGUUGUAAACUCCUGUCACAUGUUAAGAACCGCAUGGGUUACACCCAUGCCUGACAAAAGCAUGAGAGGAAGUCACGGCUAACUUCGU
RNAcentral lists this ribosomal RNA (482 nucleotides) under uncultured bacterium. Its description in RNAcentral is "bacterial SSU rRNA". It matches the Rfam family "Bacterial small subunit ribosomal RNA", at positions 29 to 506 of the family's 1533-position model. The record is from RNAcentral.